CGUCAUUGCCAUUUGUGUUUGUGAGUGAAAAUUAUUCUUAAUUUUCUUACAAAUUAUCAUUUUUCCUGAAAUAAAUAAUAGUAUAGUGUUGAAAAAUCAAUAUGGAUAAAAAGUCGAGACGUUCAAAUCCGGGCAAUUUGCUCGCCAAAGUACUUGAUGAAGAUGAAUUUUAUGCGACAACGUACGGAGAAUUCCACGAAACUGAGGAAGACAAUGAUUACAAGAAACGUCGACGUCUCUGUCAAGUCAUUGGCGUUCCAAGUUAGCAGUGGCCGGCCAGCUGGUUGGUGCAGAGAAGGUUGAGGAACAUGACAGUGUCCCACUGGACCUGUCUGUCGAGCGUAAAUCGAUAAGACAGAGUACAGCAGUGAAGUCAGCUGAGACUCAGCGGAGGAUGAACAUUAGAACCAAACUGAAAAAAAGAUAGCCAAAGAAGGAGGAAGAUCGGCCCACGCAGGAGGAAUUGUUGGCUGAAGCUGUGAUUACGGAGAGUGAAAACCUUAAAAGCUUAGAGAGAUUUAAACAAAUUAAGUUGGAAAAGAAGAAGAUACAGUCCAUAAUGAAAACUAUCACCGAUCCAAUUAUUUGAUACCAUUCCUUGGCAGUUCCUAUUAUUGAAGAAAUUCCUGAUGAGGAUGAAAAGCCUAACUUGUUCGAAGAUAAUAUAGGUGCUAUAUAAUAUCGAAAUUGAAAAUGAAAACCAGCCCUCUACACAGACUUUUUGAGCAAGCUGCCGUGUUUCAGCGUGGAAGCCUUGCGUACCAUCCGCGAAACUUACCGCCAGCAGCUAGAGGCUUGACUUGAUAAGAACGACCCCAACGUCGCCGCUUGGCUCAAGUGGCUGAACAUUCCUACGUAAAAAUAAAUAUCUAGUAAACACUUGAUAAGUCCAUGUACAUAUCAAGCUAUACAAAACUAUCAAAGCUGACCGUUCAAUUUGUAGCUAGGACAUAUGAAGCGAGUCCAAGACAAACUGGAUUUGUAUAGCUUGAUGUGCAACCAAUAUUUGUUUAGUUUGCCAUUUAUAUCGGCCAUCAAAGCCAGUAUACAUUUGUAUUACUAUAUUCAUAUACACAACUUAUUACUUACUAAAUAUACUAUAAACUAGCUUAAAGAGUAUUUACAUAAAAAUAUAUUUGUUAUGUAAUACUCUUUAAACUAGCUUAAAAAAUAUAUUUUUUAUGUAAUACUCUUUAAGCUAGUUUUCGUAGAGACGGUGGAAUACAAUAACGUCAAAAUUCGGCGUGCAUUGUAAGGUAGUCUUAGUUUUAUUUUAUGCCGCCAAGAUGUUUUAGAUCGGAGCGCAUUUGUCCAACAUGUUGGGGCAACUUAAAUGCUAAAACAGUGAUUCCGUAGUGUACGGCGCGAAUCUAUCACAGUCCACGCCGGCCAAUGAGAACGCACGAACGCGCCAUAUAAAUAUGCUAGCUUUGCGCGCGAGACUCAGUAGGAUUCGCCGCCCUAGACAUGCCCUCCUAGAACCAGAUGAUGAUAUAACUGUCCUCCAAGAGAGCAGUAAACUCACUAGCACUCUACACAAACACAAACCGCGUUCGUACAGACCCCGCCGCCGAGGUCCGCCGCGACGUCUCGAUCUUUGUCUUCCCGACGCCGGUGGAGCUGGAGUGGAUGCAUGCGUGUUGUGUUCAUCCAUGUUGAACGUGUACGCCGGUUUUAGUCGAUAGUGCUGGAUCUUCCUGGAAGCUGGAUGGUGAAGUACUUGUCGUUGCGUUCGAUGACCUUGUACGGACCUUUGUAUGGUUGUUGCAGCGGUUUGCGGACGGCGUCGUCGCGUAGUAGCACGUGACUGCAAGUUUUAAGAUCGUUGUUGUUACUGUUGUUGUCGUUUUCAGUUUUUGAUUUUGUAGAGUAUUUUAAUUUAGAAAAACUGGUCUAACAAGUAUUGCUAAUAUAAAAGGCGGGUCUUUUUUUUUUAACUACUUUAAAAGUCUUCUAAUGACCCCUCCCGCUGUGGGUUAGCAGCGGUGAGGGAGUGUCAGACUCUUACUGACUAAAAACCGUCGUGUUCCGUCAUAGGCCUCCCGUCAUGUACCAGGGCCCCGGUAUCUCUUUCGAACAACCCGCAGCCCCGGCAGGCCUUGGCCCUACUGGACCCCGCUGGGGUUGAGCUGAGCCACAACUAGCACUCCAUCACGUCUUCCUCCUCGCCCUGACUGACGCAGAAAUGGGCGCCGCGGCAGCAGCAGCGGCGCACUGACCGCAGCGGAAACAGUGGGCGCUGCGGUCGACCUCCUAGGUGCAACGGACACCCCAAUGAUGCCAGACGUGGCAUCGGAAGCACCUCAGCGGUCUGGGGUCAAGCAGCUUGACUUGCGCCGACAUCCAGCCAACCAGCAGUCUUCGGCCGUCUACGAUGGUCUUGGCCGCCGUCACGGGGCAGCUCACCGUAAUGGUGCUCAUGCCCCUGAAGUCGGCACGUAUGGUGCCCGCCUUAACUUCAUCGGCGGAGCAUCCACCCGUCCUAGCGACGGCGGCCACCACCUCCUCCGUAGUGACUGAGUCGUCCAGGCCCAGGAUGCGCAGAUCUGCGCACUUGUAGGGCCUGGAGACUCGGGAGCCAUCCGCAUUUAUGGUCGCCCUGAGCCUCUCGGCUAGAACGUCUGCGGCGGGCCCACUGGCCGCUCCUGGGACCUCCACCAUUCGGGCGCCCGUUGCGGUCACCCUGAGCCGAAGGCCCUCGGUGAUGCCCAGCUCGGCUAGGCUCACCGCCUCCUUAGCUUUAGCGAGCACGUCGCGGUACGACACGCCCCUCUUGACCGCGUCCGGCUUUAGCGUGAGUACUAAUGCUGCAGUCUUGGGGGCGCAGAGUUGCGCCGCAGCGGCUCGCUCGCUGCGCCGCCGUCUUUGGGCCUUCUUUUUGGCCGUUUUGACCGCCCUCCGUCUCUUUUUCUUCUCCCCCACUACUUGCCACUCAGACUCAAUGGCAGGAGAGGUAGGGGCCGCAGACGGAGUCGGCUUCGGAAGGCGUUUCGCCGCCACAGGUGCCGACGGGACCGGUGCCGCUGUUGGCACCGGUGUCCUCUGCGCCCGGACCGCAGUUGCGGCCUUGGGGUUUGACUGGGCGGCCCGUUCGGCGCCGCGACAGGGGGCUUGCUCGGCGGUCCCCUUCUGGGCGGGGGUGCCGUUGCAGCCGCAGCCGCAUAAGAGGCCCUUUGGGCCGCUGGGGCUUCGGCUCCGCGAGGGGGGGCGCAGAACCCUGCCAGGAUGGAGAAGCGCACCUGGAAGGCCGCCAUCUCCUGUCGCACCAGGGCCAGGACCUGGCUCUCCACAGGGGAGGACUGCGGUUGCUGCAGAGUGGUCCCGCUGCGUUCGGCCUCCUGCUCUCUCAUUUUUCUCAAGUCUGCCCGGAGACUCCUGUUCUCCUUCAGGAUCGACUCCAGGACGGCCGUGAAACGAGCCACCUCUUCUUGUAGCUUGACCAGAUCGCUCUUUGGAGCUUGGUCGAAGCUUACUUCAGCUGCCGCAUUUAUAGAGGCGGAUGCCGUAACUAUCGCCCUGUGCCGAUUGGCCUUGAGGCGCUUUAGGGACACAUCCCUGAAUGUGGCCGCCACCGUCUUGGCGAAAUUGGCCCUACGCUCCUGGUCGGAGCCGACGGCCGCCGCGUCCUCCUCGGAAGAGCUUUGUUGAGCUGCUCCUCCGUUGUCUUUGGGUGCCUCAGCAACCCUCUCUUCAACCGGUCUCCGGUCGGCCUUUUUGGCCGAGGCCCCGCGGCCACCGGAGGAAGACCCCUGGUCGUCCUUCUUCCUCUUAAGAAACGCCUUGAGCCGGUGCUCCUUCUUGCUUUGGGGAACCCUGAGAUCACCCGCAGCUCCAUCGCUGGAUGCGGACUCGCAAUCCGAGACCGCAUCCCACUCCCUGUCGUCAUCUUGGUUUUUUUUAUUAUUUUUUUCUGAGGUAUCCAUAAAAGUUCCCACGAGUAUAAAACUUUGUAUAAAUGAAAAUGUGUGUGGUUCGCACUAUUGACCAAUUAAGCUACCCAUUUUCCAAGCUUACCACAUCCCUCACGGCUUGGAGGUUUGGGGAUUUUUUUAGAGAAGUUGAUCUUCCUCGCGGCCCGGGCGGUUAAGCCAAGACCGUCGCCGUCGGCCCCUUUCGGAGAGUCAGAGACAUGACCAUGACGGUCUCCUCAGAGGUUACGAGAUUAACGGUGGUGGGAAGGAUAUCCCCCCCACCUGCCCAGAGGCAGGGUAAGUGUACACCGGGCCCGCUCUUGCACCCGCACGUAGUCUCUCUGCUCAGCAGAGGGACCCGCGAAGGGCGAUCCUCCCUUUCAGGAUUAACCUGCACUCCUCCCGGGAUGGCCGCCUCUGGGCCUCACCGGACAGAAUAUUAGCAUGCGGACACCGAUUACCCUCGGGAAGAGCCCCGAGGGGUCCCGGCGUCCGCACCCCAGGGUGCACCACGUGGAGGUUUUCUGCCCCAGCACCACUAAAAAGCGGGUCAAAAAAAAAAUGGCGGAAAAUUGAGUUUAAAUCUUAAUACAUGUAGGGUUGGAGCAGCGAAUAAAAUGCAGUCGUUGAUUAAUCUUUUAUUUUUCCUUAAUUUGACAAGCACAAAGCACACCAUCACUCCGACCGUUACGCCGUCUUGUUCCAAUCCCCCCUCUCUUUCACACACAUGCCCUGUCUCUCUCUCAUUCACUCACGCAAUCGUUCUAUGUGAACGUACAAUCCUACAACUCGGCUGUCCUGAUACUUGUCUGCCCUCAGACAACACUACCAUCCAUUACGAUGUAAUACAAACACAACUUACAAAUAACAAAAAAAACAUUAACGUAAAAACUAAACAUAACUUCUUAUGUUGUUUAAGGUAACAGAUAGAUCU
Molecule: long non-coding RNA, 4845 nt
Organism: Helicoverpa zea (corn earworm)
Lineage: Eukaryota; Metazoa; Arthropoda; Insecta; Lepidoptera; Noctuidae
Exons: 6
Source: RefSeq, a predicted model, not a curated record